AGAAAGGCAGAAUAAUACGAUGAUGUGGAUCUAGACUCCAUGGAUUCUAAUUCAGUUGCUGGAUGUCUGCUGGCUGGAGAUCACCCGUUUCCCUGUCAAGGGGGCCUCUCUGCCACAAUAAGUUGCUUCAUCACCCUUCGACAAGAGAGAAAGGCUACUAGCAAGACAGAUGUUACAAUUACAGAAACGAAGUUUUGCCACAUUGGCCAGGCUGGUCUCAAAC
This is a long non-coding RNA of Homo sapiens (human), 223 nucleotides long. RefSeq lists it as uncharacterized. The transcript is spliced from 3 exons. The record is from RefSeq and is a predicted model, not a curated record. Lineage: Eukaryota; Metazoa; Chordata; Mammalia; Primates; Hominidae.